GGAACCCCAUCAAACUUGGAUUUUGUAAGUAGUUGCGAAUGAACACAAAUUUGAUCACUUUGGCAAUCUGUACACAUUGCUGUGUAACAAUUUGUAUACGUUGGCACAGUGCUAUCAAAGCUGCAUGCAAGUGUUUUUUGAAAGGAUACAACAUGGGAUGUGAUAUUCAUGUGUGUGUGCCUGCUUUGUCCACAGCCUGUGCUGUAUGAAUCACAUUUCUUGCAACUGAAAUGCUAAUGGCAUGGUAAAGUUCAUGUGACAUGACACAAGCUUGAGAUUCAUGAUGUGCAAGUACCAUGAGGGAAAUGUGAAAAGGACUUUGGAAAGAGAAUUAAAUAAAGCCUGCAUUUGCUGACAAUGAAAGCAAGUGUGGAUGUUCAUGUAAUUGUUACUGCAUCAAUCAAUGUUCAUCUUGGUUACUGCAUGCUUUAUAUUACAGCUCAGAACAUGAAGUGUGUGUAACAGCUCUGCUUUGAUUUUUCCCACAUGGGAUCAGUUGAAACAUUGUGAGAGCACUCUUCAGUUUCCUUAUGUACCCACCAGCUUUGUCCACUCGCGUGUUGGCACACAUGUAAUGAUGAUGUGUUUAUGCAAGAUACUUCUGUGCUCAACAACAUGUUGUGUCAAUCCUCAC
This 634-nucleotide ribosomal RNA is filed under the name Ostreopsis cf. ovata. RNAcentral's name for it is "eukaryotic LSU rRNA". It matches the Rfam family "Eukaryotic large subunit ribosomal RNA", at positions 55 to 642 of the family's 3401-position model. The record is from RNAcentral. Lineage: Eukaryota; Dinophyceae; Peridiniales; Ostreopsidaceae.